This 1063-nucleotide ribosomal RNA is filed under the name uncultured bacterium. Its description in RNAcentral is "bacterial SSU rRNA". It matches the Rfam family "Bacterial small subunit ribosomal RNA", at positions 102 to 1194 of the family's 1533-position model. The record is from RNAcentral.
ACGGGUGAGUAAUGCUUAUCUUACCUACCAUUUAGUGGGGGAUAACCAAAGGAAGCUUUGGCUAAUACCGCAUAUUCUGGCUUCGGCCAGGAAAGGAUUUCGGUUCGCUAAAUGAUGGGGAUAAGGCGUAUUAGCUAGUUGGUGGGGUAAUGGCCUACCAAGGCCAAGAUGCGUAGCCAAACUGAGAGGUUGACUGGCCACAAGGGAACUGAGACACGGUCCCUCUAUCCUACGGGAGGCAGCAGUGGGGAAUAUUCCACAAUGGGCGAAAGCCUGAUGGAGCAAUGCUACGUGAAGGAUGAAGGUCUAUGGAUUGUAAACUUCUUUACUCAGGUGUACUCCUAAAAGCUUACACUUGGGCAAAAAGUCACGACUAACUAUGUGCCAGCAGUCGCGGUAAGACAUAGGUGGCAAACGUUAUCCGGAUUUAUUGGGCGUAAAGGAUGCGUAGAUGGUGGAAUAAGUUAUUGGUCAAAGUCAAGCUCAACUUGGCGGAAGCUGGUAAUACUAUUCUACUUGAGGAUAGGAGAGGUUGGCGGAAUUCUGUGUGGAGCGGUGAAAUGCGUUGAUCUACAGAGGAACACCAAAAAAGGCGAAGGCAGCCAACUAUUCUACUCCUGACAUUGAGGCAUGAAAGCGUGGGGAGCAAACCGGAUUAGAUACCCGGGUAGUCCACGCCCUAAACGAUGAGCAUUAGACAUUAGGUAUUAACUUAGUGUCGCAGCUAACGCUUUAAAUGCUCCGCCUGGGUAGUACGGCCGCAAGGCUGAAACUCAAAGGAAUUGACGGGGACUCGCACAAGCGGUGGAGCAUGUGGUUUAAUUCGAUACAACGCGCAGAACCUUACCAAGGCUUGACAUGAAGGGCAAUGUUGAAGAAACUCAACAGAGGUUAUCCCGACACAGGUGGUGCAUGGUCGUCGUCAGUUCGUGCUGUGAAGUGUAUGCUUAAGUGCUAGAACGAACGCAACCCUCAUGUUUAGUUACUAACAUUUAGUUGAGACUCUCUAAACAGACUGCCAGGGUAAUAACCUGGAGGAAGGAGAGGAUGACGUCUGAUCAUC